This 456-nucleotide ribosomal RNA is filed under the name Triticum aestivum (bread wheat). RNAcentral's name for it is "partial small subunit ribosomal RNA". The record is from RNAcentral. Lineage: Eukaryota; Viridiplantae; Streptophyta; Magnoliopsida; Poales; Poaceae.
AUGUGUGCCAUAUGCCCCGUAGAAACGGUCUUUAGGUCAUUUUCAUGCUCCGAGCUAUAUGACAUUGUAGCUUUGUCUGGAUCCACUUCAUCUUUUGACCCAUAUGUCAUUGUAAGUUUAUUUGUAUACUCUUCAUGGUUUGACCGGUAUGACAUUGUAACUUUAUGUGGAUCUUCUUCUUGUUCUGACCUAUAUGUCAUUGUAACUUUAUUGGGAUCAUCUUCUUGUUCCGACCCAUAUGACAUUGUGACUUUAUGUGGAUCUUCCUCUUGUUCUGACCUAUAUGACAUUGUAACUUUAUUGGGAUCAUCUUCUUGUUCUGACCUAUAUGACAUUGUGACUUUAUGUGGAUCUUCUUCUUGUUCUGACCUAUAUGUCAUUGUAGCUUUAUUGGGAUCAUCUUCUUGUUCUGGCUUAUAUGACAUUGUAAGUCUAUGUGGAUCAUCUUCACCUUGA